GGCUCAGGACGAACGCUGGCGGCGUGCUUAACACAUGCAAGUCGAGCGAAGCGCUUAAGUUUGAUUCUUCGGAUGAAGACUUUUGUGACUGAGCGGCGGACGGGUGAGUAACGCGUGGGUAACCUGCCUCAUACAGGGGGAUAACAGUUAGAAAUGGCUGCUAAUACCGCAUAAGACCACAGUACUGCAUGGUACAGUGGUAAAAACUCCGGUGGUAUGAGAUGGACCCGCGUCUGAUUAGGUAGUUGGUGAGGUAACGGCCCACCAAGCCGACGAUCAGUAGCCGACCUGAGAGGGUGACCGGCCACAUUGGGACUGAGACACGGCCCAGACUCCUACGGGAGGCAGCAGUAGG
Molecule: ribosomal RNA, 355 nt
Filed under: uncultured Dorea sp.
Lineage: Bacteria; Bacillati; Bacillota; Clostridia; Lachnospirales; Lachnospiraceae
Description: bacterial SSU rRNA
Rfam family: Bacterial small subunit ribosomal RNA
Source: RNAcentral